This 388-nucleotide ribosomal RNA is filed under the name uncultured bacterium. RNAcentral's name for it is "bacterial SSU rRNA". It matches the Rfam family "Bacterial small subunit ribosomal RNA", at positions 28 to 417 of the family's 1533-position model. The record is from RNAcentral.
GACGAACGCUGGCGGCGUGCUUAACACAUGCAAGUCGAGCGGUAAGGCCCUUUCGGGGGUACACGAGCGGCGAACGGGUGAGUAACACGUGGGUGACCUGCCCUCAGCUCUGGGAUAAGCCUGGGAAACCGGGUCUAAUACUGGAUAUGACUCCAUGACGCAUGUUGUGGGGUGGAAAGCCUUGUGCGGCUGAGGAUGGGCCCGCGGCCUAUCAGCUUGUUGGUGGGGUGANGGCCUACCAAGGCGACGAUGGGUAGCCGGCCUGAGAGGGCGACCGGCCACACUGGGACUGAGACACGGCCCAGACUCCUACGGGAGGCAGCAGUGGGGAAUCUUGCGCAAUGGGCGAAAGCCUGACGCAGCGACGCCGCGUGAGGGAUGACGGCCU